This 429-nucleotide ribosomal RNA is filed under the name Bacteroidota bacterium. RNAcentral's name for it is "Bacteroidetes bacterium partial 16S ribosomal RNA". It matches the Rfam family "Bacterial small subunit ribosomal RNA", at positions 355 to 776 of the family's 1533-position model. Lineage: Bacteria; Pseudomonadati; Bacteroidota. The record is from RNAcentral.
UAGGGAAUCUUCCGCAAUGGACGCAAGUCUGACGGAGCAACGCCGCGUGAGUGAAGAAGGAUUUCGGUUCGUAAAACUCUGUUGUUAGAGAAGAACAGCGCAUAGAGUAACUGUUAUGCGUGUGACGGUAUCUAACCAGAAAGCCACGGCUAACUACGUGCCAGCAGCCGCGGUAAUACGUAGGUGGCAAGCGUCGUCCGGAUUUAUUGGGCGUAAAGCGAGCGCAGGCGGUCAAUUAAGUCUGAUGUGAAAGCCCCCGGCUCAACCGGGGAGGGUCAUUGGAAACUGGUUGACUUGAGUGCAGAAGAGGAGAGUGGAAUUCCAUGUGUAGCGGUGAAAUGCGUAGAUAUAUGGAGGAACACCAGUGGCGAAAGCGGCUCUCUGGUCUGUAACUGACGCGGAGGCUCGAAAGCGUGGGGAGCGAACAGG